CGACCCACAUCUGACCCACAGAGACCCACAGCAGCCCUGCCCCACAUCUGACCCACAGCUGACCCACAUCCAGAGGGGCUGCCCCACAUCUGACUCAUGGCCGACCCAUAGAGACCCACAUCUGACCCACAGCAGCCCUGCCCCACAUCUGACCCACAUCCAGAGGGGCUGCCCCACAUCUGACCCAGAGAGACCCUGCCCCACAUCUGACCCAUGGCCGACCCAUAGAGGGGCUGGGGCUGACCCAUAGAGACCUUGCCCCACAUCUGACCCACAUCCAGAGGGGCUGCCCCACAGCUGACCCGCAGAGGGGCCGGCCCUGACCCACAGCUGACCCACGGCAGGGCUGACCCACCUCUGACCCACAGCUGACCCAUAGAGGGGCUGGGGCUGACCCACGGCAGGGCUGCCCCACAUCUGACCUACGGCCGACCCACAGAGGGGCUGGGGCUGCCCCACAUCUGACCCACGGCAGGGCUGCCCCACGGCUGACCCACACUGGGCCUGGGGCUGACCCAGGGCAGGGCUGAGCCACAGUGGGGCUGCCCCACAUCUGACCCACAUCUGACCCACAGCAAGCCCAGGGCUGACCCACAGCAGCCC
This 603-nucleotide long non-coding RNA is filed under the name Lonchura striata (white-rumped munia). RNAcentral describes it as "domestica (Bengalese finch) lncRNA (ENSLSDG00000003317.1)". Lineage: Eukaryota; Metazoa; Chordata; Aves; Passeriformes; Estrildidae. The record is from RNAcentral.